UACGUAGGGUGCGAGCGUUAAUCGGAAUUACUGGGCGUAAAGCGUGCGCAGGCGGUUAUUUAAGUCAGGUGUGAAAGCCCUGGGCUUAACCUAGGAAUUGCGCUUGAGACUGGAUAGCUUGGAGUGCGGCAGAGGGAGGUGGAAUUCCACGUGUAGCAGUGAAAUGCGUAGAGAUGUGGAGGAACACCGAUGGCGAAGGC
This 200-nucleotide ribosomal RNA is filed under the name uncultured bacterium. RNAcentral's name for it is "partial 16S ribosomal RNA". It matches the Rfam family "Bacterial small subunit ribosomal RNA", at positions 524 to 722 of the family's 1533-position model. The record is from RNAcentral.